GCCGUAACGGGAAGCAACGCGCGGCUGGGGACCACGAAGACCUCACGGCCACGAGUCACCCUCCGCCCUCCUUAGUCGAGAGAACGGCACCGUGCCAGAUUACCGUAUCCCGGGGUGCCAUCAAAGCGCGAUAACGACACUCCUGGUGAAUCCUGUGGAUCCUGAAGUCCGUCUAGCCACGAGGACAAGAUCCCUGGAGAAAACAGGGUUAAAGUCAUCGGUCAAGCUUUUCGGUUAGUGGUGCAGGAGUAUCGACCUCAGCAUCCCUGGACCCAGGACGCAUCAGUUAUUCAAAAGAAGAUCCUAUCGAAAGUUGGCAAGAAAAAGAAAAGGAAGAUGAACGGUAAAACAGUGCAAGAGUGAACAGCAGUGUAACGCUACGGAAAACACUCUACAAGAAGUCCACUGACAGAUAAAUGUUCUAUUAAAAUUUGGUGACCCCUCAGUGACAUUAUGGUGAAGACAGUGUUGUGACCUUAGAGAAUCAGACCACGCGGCCAAUGACAGGUGACAGAGACUCGAAGAUCAUAUUUCACACGUGCUCCAAAACGUCCAGAACUGUGAUCAGGAAGAAAAUUUAAAGGUGGACCUUAAUGAAAUUGAUCGCUCGACGUCGACUUCCUGAUCACGGAUGGUAGCAAAGAGUUGACGGUACAUGCUCGUAUCCGGACAGGAAGUACGAAGCACGCGGAGGAAAUCGCUAAUUCAAUCGCGGCAAAAGGUAUUCGCGGUGGGCGCUUGCGCGCGCUCCUAACUCUGAUUUAGCGAAGGGUGCUUCAGAGAAGGAAGAAGAGUGUUGCCCCAGGAAAGCCUCUACAGCCUCACAACGCGGUCCGACGAGUACACCGGUAGUCACCCCAGCUCCACCAUCGUGGGGGCUGGGGGACUGACAUGGUUAGGCUUUGGGGCUGGUGGCGGCGCAGGGGCCACCACCGGCGGUGGAAGUCCUGUCGAAUUUGAUGAGCACUGGGGCCGGAAGUUGUACGGGGCCAGCGUGGCCCCGCCACCACCGCCUCAUCAUCAUCAUCCACGUCUCUUCGCACCGCAGGACAUGAGGCAGAUCCUUAAGGAGGAACCGAUACCACGUGUCUGGCCGCAACCUGCACUGGGUGAUAACGGAACGGUCGCCGUGGCUAAGGCCCACUUCGAGAAACAACCCCCGAGCAACCUGAGGAAGAGUAAUUUCUUUCAUUUCGUGAUCGGCCUCUUCGAUCGGACCGGACAACCAAUAGAGAUCGAGAGGACGGCUUUCAUUGGUUUCGUUGAAAAGGAUCAGGAAUCCGAGGGUCAAAAGACAAACAACGGAAUUCAGUAUCGCUUGCAGCUUCUCUAUACUAACGGUGUCAGGCAGGAGCAGGACAUCUUUGUUCGGCUGAUAGACUCCGUGACCAAGCAGGCAAUAAUGUACGAGGGACAGGAUAAAAAUCCAGAAAUGUGCAGAGUCCUGCUGACGCACGAGGUGAUGUGCAGUCGAUGCUGCGACAAGAAAAGUUGUGGCAACAGAAACGAGACACCCAGCGAUCCUGUCAUCAUCGAUCGGUACUACCUCAAGUUCUUCCUCAAGUGUAACCAAAACUGCCUGAAGAAUGCCGGGAAUCCGCGGGACAUGAGACGCUUUCAGGUUAUCAUCUCUACCCAGGUGGAAGUGGAAGGUCCACUCCUCGCUGUAUCCGACAACAUGUUCGUACACAACAACAGCAAACACGGUCGCAGAGCGAAGAGACUCGAUCCCAACGAUCCUGGCGAGUACAGCAAAUUGAUGUACUGCACAGCCGACGGAGUGAUGCGUUACAGAGCUCUUUAUCCGCCGGCACCGAUCGCCACACCCUGCAUAAAAGCGGUAUCGCCAAGUGAAGGCUGGACGUCGGGUGGAUCUACGGUGAUUAUCGUUGGCGACAAUUUUUUCGACGGGCUGCAGGUCGUCUUUGGUACGAUGCUUGUAUGGAGCGAGUUAAUCACUGCACACGCAAUCAGGGUGCAAACACCACCGCGACAGAUACCAGGCGUAGUGGAAGUCACGCUAUCGUACAAGAGCAAGCAGUUUUGCAAAGGUGCGCCGGGACGCUUCGUCUACGUCUCAUUAACCGAGCCAUCGAUCGACUACGGUUUCCAAAGGUUACAAAAAUUGGUCCCACGGCAUCCAAGCGACCCCGAAAAAUUGGCCAAGGACACAAUCCUGAAAAGAGCAGCGGACCUGGUGGAAGCAUUUUACACGAUGUCCAGAAACGGAAACACGGGAAUACCAGGAGCACCGAGAAGUCCAGGCUCGGGUCAUCCGCCAGCCCCGCCAACGUCCGGUUCGGCCACAGCCUUCAACUCGUAUACAGGUCAACUAGCGGUAACCGUCCAGGAAAACGGUAGCGCGAAAUGGACGGACGACGGGGGUUCAGUGACGACAGGAGCCGGUGGCGGAGCCGGGGCCGGUAGCGUAGGGGGUAGCGCCGACGCCUACAGGCAAAGUAGCAGCGCAAGCCCCAGAGGGGUUGUAACCGGCGGUGGCUACUGCGGCAGCUCAGCAAGUACACCCCAUAGUCAUAGCACCAGCGGUAGCUACUCCGUAGCCAAUCCGUACACGGGCAGCCCGACGCUCUACACCUCCCCGCACGAACAAUACAGCAUUCUGUAUACGUCCGGGGACGCGAGCGCAUUCCGACCACCGAUCACCUCAGUCCCACCGCACUGGUCCACCCAGCACCACCUCGCAACAGCUGCUCAGUAACCACUAACCCGCCGUCCGCCCUAAGCAAUACGCGCGAAAACUCUUCCCGCCGAGAAUGGCGGCGACUGGUUAGGGGAUGUGGUUGGGUCACCGUUCAACAUGAAUCCAUUCAUGCUGCCGACCUGCAGUCAAGGUUACUCCGCUACUGCCAGUCCGCUACUUUCGUCUACUGGCAAAUAGUCCUACGAGAUGUAGACAAUGGAUUAUGGAUUCUUCGGUUGAUCUGCAAGAAUUCUACCGGACUGUUGUUGCUGUUUGCGGGCAUUUUUUUCGACUUCGGGAUUUGGGGAUGAAAAGUCCUCUUGGAAUUGAUCGAACGUCGGGGGAUCGUUUGUGGGAGAUUGUUUUUGUUUUCACUCUUUUUUAUAUAUAUAGUAUAUAUAUACAUAUAUAUAUAUAUAUAUAUUUGAGACAUGGACGCUCCACGUUGCUGAGUGACGUAGUGAAAUUUGUGAAGGUUUUAAGGUAUUAUGUAAGUUUUUGAAACCAGUGCAAAUCUAGUAGGGAUACUAUAGAGACGGUCGAAUUAUGUAAGUAAGGAAUUCUACAUAUCGCAAGGAUUUUCAUGGAACUUUAACUAAGGGGUUGGGGGUUAUAUAUCCGAUUGGGAUGAAUUUGUAUUUAUUGGUACAGUCGUGGUAUAGGCUGUGGUAUUCAUUGUGAGGAGAAAGUACGUGUGAGGGAUGGAGUGAACUAUUUUUUUUUUUUUUUUUUUU
This is an RNA transcript of Cephus cinctus (wheat stem sawfly), 3435 nucleotides long. It is a transcript of the gene named transcription factor collier, with no coding region annotated. The transcript has 15 exons. NCBI's taxonomy places the organism in Eukaryota, Metazoa, Arthropoda, Insecta, Hymenoptera, Cephidae. The record is from RefSeq and is a predicted model, not a curated record.